CUAAAAACAAUCGACAUAGUUGCUGUUUCGCAGUGACAUUCGUCGGAAAUUGGGUCAUCUUAAACCUUUUGGUUUUAAGCGGCUUAAAAUUUUCUUUACGAUUCCACGAGCGUUUCUAAGAUUUUUUCUUACACGUUUAAGGUAAUCGAUCUUUUAUUAGACGUGGCCGUCGCAUCGGAUCGCGUCCAUAAAUAUUUCGUU
Molecule: unclassified non-coding RNA, 201 nt
Filed under: uncultured Glomeraceae
Lineage: Eukaryota; Fungi; Glomeromycota; Glomeromycetes; Glomerales; Glomeraceae
Description: sequence contains ITS2
Source: RNAcentral